Long non-coding RNA from Sebastes umbrosus (honeycomb rockfish), 182 nucleotides. RefSeq lists it as uncharacterized. The transcript is spliced from 2 exons. Lineage: Eukaryota; Metazoa; Chordata; Actinopteri; Perciformes; Sebastidae. The record is from RefSeq and is a predicted model, not a curated record.
CUGCAGUAUAUAUACCCCGGUUUUCCUGCUACUCUUCGCCAGAUCGUUCCGUCACCCACAGUGGUCUGUUCUCCUGCCAGCUGUGUCUGCUUCCAAUCCUGCCUGCUCACUCCUGCACUCGGCUCUUCCUCAACCUGGAACCCUUUUGUUUAAAUAAAUAUUCUUUUGUUCAUCCUUUAAAA